GGCGAACGCUGGCGGCAGGCUUAACACAUGCAAGUCGAACGCCCCGCAAGGGGAGUGGCAGACGGGUGAGUAACACGUGGGAACGUACCCUUUGGUUCGGAAUAACUUGGGGAAACUCAAGCUAAUACCGGAUAAGCGCUUAUGGGGAAAGGUUUACUGCCGAAGGAUCGGCCCGCGUCUGAUUAGCUAGUUGGUGAGGUAAUGGCUCACCAAGGCGACGAUCAGUAGCUGGUCUGAGAGGAUGAUCAGCCACACUGGGACUGAGACACGGCCCAGACUCCUACGGGAGGCAGCAGUGGGGAAUAUUGGACAAUGGGGGCAACCCUGAUCCAGCCAUGCCGCGUGAGUGAUGAAGGCCUUAGGGUUGUAAAGCUCUUUUACCCGGGACGAUAAUGACUGUACCGGGAGAAUAAGCCCCGGCUAACUUCGUGCCAGCCGCCGCAGUAA
Molecule: ribosomal RNA, 447 nt
Filed under: uncultured bacterium
Lineage: Bacteria
Description: partial 16S ribosomal RNA
Rfam family: Bacterial small subunit ribosomal RNA
Source: RNAcentral